This 1067-nucleotide ribosomal RNA is filed under the name Escherichia coli. RNAcentral describes it as "partial 23S ribosomal RNA". It matches the Rfam family "Bacterial large subunit ribosomal RNA", at positions 83 to 1191 of the family's 2925-position model. Lineage: Bacteria; Pseudomonadati; Pseudomonadota; Gammaproteobacteria; Enterobacterales; Enterobacteriaceae. The record is from RNAcentral.
AAGGUGAUAUGAACCGUUAUAACCGGCGAUUUCCGAAUGGGGAAACCCAGUGUGAUUCGUCACACUAUCAUUAACUGAAUCCAUAGGUUAAUGAGGCGAACCGGGGGAACUGAAACAUCUAAGUACCCCGAGGAAAAGAAAUCAACCGAGAUUCCCCCAGUAGCGGCGAGCGAACGGGGAGCAGCCCAGAGCCUGAAUCAGUAUGUGUGUUAGUGGAAGCGUCUGGAAAGGCGCGCGAUACAGGGUGACAGCCCCGUACACAAAAAUGCACAUGCUGUGAGCUCGAUGAGUAGGGCGGGACACGUGGUAUCCUGUCUGAAUAUGGGGGGACCAUCCUCCAAGGCUAAAUACUCCUGACUGACCGAUAGUGAACCAGUACCGUGAGGGAAAGGCGAAAAGAACCCCGGCGAGGGGAGUGAAAAAGAACCUGAAACCGUGUACGUACAAGCAGUGGGAGCACGCUUAGGCGUGUGACUGCGUACCUUUUGUAUAAUGGGUCAGCGACUUAUAUUCUGUAGCAAGGUUAACCGAAUAGGGGAGCCGAAGGGAAACCGAGUCUUAACUGGGCGUUAAGUUGCAGGGUAUAGACCCGAAACCCGGUGAUCUAGCCAUGGGCAGGUUGAAGGUUGGGUAACACUAACUGGAGGACCGAACCGACUAAUGUUGAAAAAUUAGCGGAUGACUUGUGGCUGGGGGUGAAAGGCCAAUCAAACCGGGAGAUAGCUGGUUCUCCCCGAAAGCUAUUUAGGUAGCGCCUCGUGAAUUCAUCUCCGGGGGUAGAGCACUGUUUCGGCAAGGGGGUCAUCCCGACUUACCAACCCGAUGCAAACUGCGAAUACCGGAGAAUGUUAUCACGGGAGACACACGGCGGGUGCUAACGUCCGUCGUGAAGAGGGAAACAACCCAGACCGCCAGCUAAGGUCCCAAAGUCAUGGUUAAGUGGGAAACGAUGUGGGAAGGCCCAGACAGCCAGGAUGUUGGCUUAGAAGCAGCCAUCAUUUAAAGAAAGCGUAAUAGCUCACUGGUCGAGUCGGCCUGCGCGGAAGAUGUAACGGGGCUAAACCAUG